CCUACGGGAGGCAGCAGUGAGGAAUAUUGGUCAAUGGACGGAAGCCUGAACCAGCCAUGCCGCGUGCAGGAAGACGGCUUUCUGAGUUGUAAACUGCUUUUGUACAAGGGUAAACCUGAAUACGUGUAUUCAGCUGAACGUACUGUACGAAUAAGGAUCGGCUAACUCCGUGCCAGCAGCCGAGGUAAUACGGAGGAUCCAAGCGUUAUCCGGAUUUAUUGGGUUUAAAGGGUGCGUAGGCGGAUUGAUAAGUUAGAGGUGAAAUGUCCGGGCUUAACUCGGGAACUACCUCUAAUACUGUUGAUCUAGAGAGUAGAUGCGGUAGGCGGAAUGUAUGGUGUAGCGGUGAAAUGCUUAGAGAUCAGACAGAACACCGAUUGCGAAGGCAGCUUACCAAUCUAUAUCUGACGUUGAGGCACGAAAGCGUGGGGAGCAAACAGGAUUAGAUACCCCUGUAGUC
This 460-nucleotide ribosomal RNA is filed under the name uncultured bacterium. Its description in RNAcentral is "partial 16S ribosomal RNA". It matches the Rfam family "Bacterial small subunit ribosomal RNA", at positions 338 to 795 of the family's 1533-position model. The record is from RNAcentral.